UAAACUGGAGGUGAGCAUGUGGGUGGAGGCACGCUGGAAAAUAGUUACAUGAUCAAUUUUUUCUACGAUACCUAUAACUGGGUGUUUAUUUUGGGGUAUUUCUUAGUAUAUGUGUAAGUCUAUAUCUUAAUAUAUGCUUUGUCGUUAGUAUAUUGCCUAGAUUAUUGGCAAAGGUGUGAUUUGAGAAAAGGCUGUUCUGUUGCUCUGACUUUCUGCAUCACAUUUAAAUGUAUGUUCUUACACACAGUUAAUUCCUCAGAAAAUAUUCAUCCAUGCUAUCAAGAGUUAGUCAUUGAAUUCCACUACAUAUUUCACUCUGGGACCUGUGCUACUGAGGGGAGGAAGAGAAACUCUGUAGAGAACAGCUAUGGCAGAUUUUUAUACUCUUUUGUACUGAAGAUGAAAGCUAAAAUUAUAAGUAAUGGUUUUUCAAUAUAAUGAGGACAAGUAUAAACUGAUUCCCUUCCAUAUCAUCUAUCAGCAUACUACAACGAUAGAAAUGACUGUCUAUAAUCAAGAAGGUAUUUCAUAUGGUUUGGGAGAGCUUUUUUCUUUCUCUUAAAUUUGUCCAUCUCUGCCAUCCCAGUAGGUAUUGGCUAGGAAGGAAGGAGAGGUAGUGGCUAGGAGAGGUGGAAACUGUAUACCCCAUGGAAAGUGAACCUGCCUUAGCUAGUUGUAGAACUGGACUUGCUCCAUCUUUACUGCAGGAUGAACCAAAUGCCAGGUAUCCAGUAUUGAUUAAGUUUCUGAAACACUUCGUUUUACAAAAAUUGUUUUCAUUCACAUAUCUUGGUGGGGUGGAAAGGGGUGGUGAGGAUUUCUUUUUUGUUUCUCUUAAUUUGGUAAUCUGAAGUUAAGGUUUUCAACUAAUACACACAUAAGGUCUUUCUUGGUUUGAGUUUCCUAAAUUGAAAAAAGUUAGAAGCAUGGUAAAGACAUUCCAGCUUUGUUUUGUGUCAUCACAAUGCAGUUGAUAAUCUUUAGAAGACCUCAUAAAGUAGUGUCAAUGUAUCUUUUCUUCCCAGUGUUUUCAGAAACCAAAGAGAUACUAACGCAGAUAACCAGGAAAGACUUGAAAGGGACAAGAAAAUGCUGGUUUACAGAACAAAUGGUUCAAUGGCUCCUGGCAGGAUCAGGCAGGCAGGUUCACUCCACAAUGGAGCAAUCACAGCUCAGCAAGCGUGUGACAAACUGAGGAAUUCCCAGAUGUUGCAAAGCAGAGUAAACUGAAGAUAAAAACUCUUCAAAAUUUCAUCAAAUAUGUAUCUACUUCAUUUGUUGUUUUUAGUGGGUAUGUUUGUAUGAUUAAUGUAUAGCUACUUCUAAUGAAGAGACAAAUACACUUCCUCUCCAAAAGCAGCAUUUUCUUAAUUAAGAAAUAUUUUAUUAAUUAUUAACCUCUGUUUCUGAGGGAGAAGUAAACAAUCUGUGGUCUCAUUUGUUCUGUAGCUGUUACCAAUACUGUGAUUGAUAUAUUAAUUGAUUUAACAUGGCAGCAGGCACAGAAAGCAGAGGUACUAAACACUGCCUGUGCUUUAGCCAUUCCCACCCAGACCUCUGCACUUAGAGAGACAGGUGAAGGAUAGAAAUAACCAGCAGUGGAUGGGCAAGAAGUCAGGGAGAUGGUAGACGACUUGAUCCAUGGGCCAAGAAGACAAGAUGGGCUGCACCUGAGGGUGGUGAGAGCUGGCUGAUGUCCAUGCAGGGUGAUGCCCCUAUAACCUCUGGGAGGUUGUGGGGCUCCAAGGAGGUCCCCAGAAACCAAAGAAAUGAAUGUGCUGCACCCAUUUUUUUCAAAAAAGCAAAAAGGUGAUCUGGGAAACUCCAGGCUGGUCAGCCUGGCUUUGGUCCCUGGGAAGAUCAUGCAGCACAUGGAGAAGAAGGUGACUGGAAGCUAUCAGCACGUGGG
Molecule: long non-coding RNA, 1909 nt
Filed under: Anas platyrhynchos platyrhynchos (common mallard)
Lineage: Eukaryota; Metazoa; Chordata; Aves; Anseriformes; Anatidae
Description: lncRNA (ENSAPLG00000018340.1)
Source: RNAcentral